Molecule: long non-coding RNA, 534 nt
Filed under: Fukomys damarensis (Damara mole-rat)
Lineage: Eukaryota; Metazoa; Chordata; Mammalia; Rodentia; Bathyergidae
Description: lncRNA (ENSFDAG00000024235.1)
Source: RNAcentral
CUUACCGCUCCUGUGCCUCCUUCAUCUUUUUCUUCUUCUUUUGUGCUACAGAAACCUUAUCUAUUCUCCAAAUAAAGUUAUGAGCAAGAGCCCAUCGUAGAAGGAUUAAAAGCAGAUUGGUUUACAGAGAAGCCUGUGAGAUGCUGCUGUCCAACCUUGAAGCUACCAGCAGGACAAAUCCAAUUAGGGCAGGUCUUAUGGCCACUCCUCCCUAAGACACCUCCGUCACCAUCAUCUCCCACCUGUUACUUGACUACAUACAACACGCAAGCUAUAGCACAACCAUUCUCUGAAUGAACAGUGCUCCGUUCCAGUUCCUGAUUCUCAUGGCACCUUAUUAUUAUGACCACAAGGUGAAGAGGGAGAACAAUUUAUUAAUAAAUCUACAUUAAACUGUAGUCCUCAUACUGGAACCCACAGGCAGAAAAUAUGAGUUGUAGAAAAGUAAAGAUUCAGUACUAAAGCAUAAGCCAUGCUCUUAGAUACUGGGCACCUCAUACCUUGUCAUUUUAUCAAGGAUGAAGCAGGCCAGUG